AUUGAACGCUGGCGGCAGGCCUAACACAUGCAAGUCGAACGAAGUGGCGAACGGGUGAGUAAUACGUGAGUAACCUGCCCUCCUUUUUGGGAUAAGCCUUGGAAACGGGGUCUAAUACCGAAUAAAGGGGGAGGGGCUCGCGGCCUAUCAGCUUGUUGGGGGGGUGAUGGCCUACCAAGGCGGUGACGGGUAGCCGGCCUGGGAGGGUGACCGGCGACAUGGGGACUGAGAUACGGCGCAGACUCGUACGGGAGGCAGCAGUGGGGAAUAUUGCACAAUGGGCGGAAGCCUGAUGCAGCGACGCCGCGUGGGGGAUGACGGCCUUCGGGUUGUAAACUCCUUUCACCAUCGACGCGGUAGAUGGAGAAGAAGCACCGGCUAACUACGUGCCAGCAGCCGCGGUAAUUC
This 408-nucleotide ribosomal RNA is filed under the name uncultured bacterium. Its description in RNAcentral is "partial 16S ribosomal RNA". It matches the Rfam family "Bacterial small subunit ribosomal RNA", at positions 28 to 526 of the family's 1533-position model. The record is from RNAcentral.